RNAcentral lists this ribosomal RNA (237 nucleotides) under uncultured bacterium. RNAcentral's name for it is "partial 16S ribosomal RNA". It matches the Rfam family "Bacterial small subunit ribosomal RNA", at positions 99 to 334 of the family's 1533-position model. The record is from RNAcentral.
CGAACGGUCGCGUAACACGUAAGCAACCUGCCCCAAAGACCGGGACAACGUUCGAAAGGAGCGCUAAUACCGGAUGUGCCCACGAGAAGGAUUCUUUUUGUGAGUAAAGCGCGCAAGUGGCUUUGGGAGGGGCUUGCGGCCUAUCAGCUAGAUGGUGGGGUAACGGCCUACCAUGGCGACGACGGGUAGCUGGUCUGAGAGGAUGGUCAGCCGGAUUGGGACUGAGAUACGGCCCAG